This is a long non-coding RNA of Thunnus maccoyii (southern bluefin tuna), 3872 nucleotides long. RefSeq lists it as uncharacterized. The record is from RefSeq and is a predicted model, not a curated record. Lineage: Eukaryota; Metazoa; Chordata; Actinopteri; Scombriformes; Scombridae. The transcript is spliced from 3 exons.
AGCUCCAUGUGGUGUCAUCCAUUGAAAAACAACAUGUCCAAAUCAGGGACAUUUACACAAUGGAAGCCAAAAUGAAUAAACAUGGCAACGGUUGGAGACAAGCCCAGACCACUGUGUGUGUCUGUGUGCAAGAUUGAAAUGACACACACUCACACACAGACAAACACAUGCAUGCAUGCACGUUCACAACCCUGUCAAGCUGUCUGAUGCUUUACAAAUUGUGCAACAGGAAGGCAGAGUACUGUGCCAAACCAUUGGCUAACGCUGUCUCGCUUAUGGUGGUGGUAAAUCACCUUCAUGCGCAGGUUAAACACUGCUAUAUGUACAGUGUGACCUGGCUGCUAGCCUGACAGAUGUGUGUAAAUCUUUCCUUAGCAGGUGAAUGGUCAAAUACACCACUGAGACAGACUAUAGUUUGCUUACAGUCAUUCAGUCUACUCUGUGUGGGUCUGUGAAAGAUCCAACCUGACAAAAAUCCAGUUCAGUGGUAACCUAUCCUUGCCCACAUCUAAGCAGCCACGCAGACAGGUCUGAACUGAUUUGGUGAAGGUUUGACACAUCCACCACUGACACCUCUAAAAACAGCUCAUGACGUGGAAACCACUUGCAUCAAUAAUCAAUAUUUUCUACAGUUCCCUUCGGCUACAGCGAGUAGCUGUUUUGAGUGAACAAGACUCUACAAACCCACUGUGCAAUACCUGCCCAGCACCAAACAGCAGACAGAGCCAAUAGCUGGUGGACAUAUUUAGCAAGUGGAGACCAAAAACAGAGCUAAAGUGAGAGUGAAAAUUGUAAUCAGUAUUCGCCAUGUGGCCAGAAACACAAGUCCAAAUGGAGUGUUUUUCCAUAACUGCUUGAUGUUUGAAUAAGCAACUGCUUGCUAACAAGUGUCACAUCUAACAGACCCUUUUAGUGCCUAUGUAGUGAUUGCGUCACAGUGUUAGCUGGAGGCAAACACAAAUCACCUCAGAGUAGUAGGCUGAAUCACCUACUGAAAAUGUCAUUUUGCUGUGUUGCUGGGUGCCAGAAUUGAAGAAGUAAUGGCUCCAACUUGAAAUUUUUGCACCCCAGCUGCCACUGCCAGUCAAAAAACCCAGAAGACGACUAUGGUUAAACGCGAUAAGAAGAAUGGAUUGGACUGAGACAAUCAUCAAAAAUGCUGGUGUUCGUAGUGCACACUUCAUUUCAUAUCAGAAAAGGUUAAAUAAAGUAUUGUCUGUUGUAGGAAUGGAUAUAAAGGUUUGUCAUGCCCACCUUAUCAGAAAUUGGGGAACUGGAAGGAAUAGGUGAUUUUUUUUGUAACUCUCUAAGUGCAUUAGCUAAUUUCGUUAGGUAGUUGUAUGUGUCAGGUGUGUUCAGGAAGUUACAUUUGCUAUCCCCCACUAGUAGCUAGCAGUAACCAACCAACCAAACAGUAUUGUAGUUAAUAAUAAGCUAGACUGAAAGGACAGAAAUCCCCAUGCACAGCCAGUAUUUUCAGACAGGUGCUGGUCGGUCGCAGGAACAUAUAAGGUGAAAAUCAAAAUUAACCACCACACACUGUAAUGACUUUCCUGUGACUUUAUUAAGAACGAACUAGACCAGACAGACUAGACUGACUUUGAUAGCAAGCUAUUUUGUAGGAGAGGCUUCUAUGGAUGAAGACAACCCAGUAUUCAUCCCCCCUGUGUUUUUUUAUGGACGGCGCAGGUUGGCCAGACUGCGAAAAGCUGGAGAGGCUGGAAAGAAAAAGGAAAAGAGAAAGUCAGACAGUGGAGCAGGAGGCUCCUUGCCAUGUUGAUGAUCCAAUGACACCAGAGAAACCAGUGGAAGAAGCUGAGGCUAUGGUCCCACGAGUAGCAUACGAAAGUCUCAGUCAAAAGUAUGACCAACUCAGAACUGAAUAUGGCAACUUGAGAAAAGACUUCUACAAACUCAAAGAGGAGAAAUUUCAGUCAUCUUCACUUGGUUAAUGACAAAAAUGAAAGACAGUGUGCAGAAGCAAACUGAAAGUCUCAUGCUGGAAGAUUAUUUAUUAGUGGUCCUUAUGAAAUGGAGACUGGGGCUCAGUAACAGAGAUACAGCGUAUAGAUUCAAAGUUUCUGAAAGUAAAUAUCAUGGUUGUCUGUGAUGGCAAGUGUAUGUCUGUCAGUUAUAAUUCCUGUUGUUGGUGAUGUGUUAGGGAGGAAGGAUCUGCAGUGUCGUUUUCUCUCUGCAGAGAUGGAUGUGGAGUGGAAGGCACAUAAUUUAUAUUUUCCUCAUCCCGGGACAAGGAUGUCUGUUAUGUCAAAUGUCUUGUCACUUGUGACCUACACUAUGAAUACAAAUACUGGAUUUGUGUUUUAUGCCAAGCAAUGACAUUUACAUUACAAAGGAGGCUAUGUUCGCUCAUGCUUACGGCAGAUAUUUAUGGUGGACACAGAAAUGAUAGUUUUUGGUAUGAACAUCCAAAAAAGGUUUGCAGUUAUUUUUGUUUUUCACGUGUACUGAGAACAUCUGUUAAGUGUGGUCCAAUUCUAUUCAGCAAAGCAGAAAUUACAUCUCCAAAUAUUCAAAAUGACUCAACAAAUUAUUUGAUAGAACUGGGAUCAGAUUAUUUCAGCUAAACUCUAACAGCUUCAAGAGGUUUUGUGCUUUCUGCUGUUAACAAUGCAUAAGUUAUGGACUCAAUUUUUGUCAAAUAUCAUACAGUCAUAUGAUCUCUAUUUAUUGGGGUCCAUAAAUACUACACACUGAGUCAUCCUCUGGAGCUCGCAUUUGAGCUGCUGCAGCUUUUUUUUUCUUUUCCUGUAUGACCAAUCUGUUUCUUUGAGUGCUUUUAAAUGCUUGAAAUGGGAACACAAUGGCAGUUUGGGAAUGUAGAGUAAUCAGCUCUUCCAGCCUCAGUUCAGCUGAUGUGUGAAACUGGUUUCUGGAUCAGAACAAUCACAACGGACUGGCAGAGAGAUCUGACAUGAAGGUCUUGGAGUCAGAGAAAACUUUUACCAAGCUGCACACAUGGAGGAAGGAAUGGUUUCAUUUAUUUGGGGGGCGUAUGGAAUAAUUUUAGUAAUUCUCCCUUUGUCUCUGUGUGUGUGUGUGUGUGUGUGUGUUUGUCUACAUGUUGUAGGUCUGUUUAACAUUAACGCAGCGUCUUUAAACUGAUGUUCCUGUCCCAGUUGUAAUUUACAUUGUGAUGUAAUGUAAUGAUCUCCUAGAGAUUAGUACUGCAUACUGCUGUCAGUGUCUCUGUGAGCGAGCAUCCUCUCUGCAGGGAGCACUGAAGCGACAGAUAGGAGCUGUUGGCCAGAGGAUCAUGUUUAUUGUGGGCAAGGCUCAGUGCGUCAGUCCAAUAAGUGCAUUCAACUGGACAAAUUAGCUAAAGCUGGACUUGCACAGAAACAAUACCGAGUUUGUUCAAAACAAUUUCUCUAUUUCCUCUUGUGAAGAUCCAGGAAACCAUCAUUCAGUAUCUCUAAUUAUCUUAUUAUUGUGUUAUUACUUAAAGACACCAAAACCAAACCCAGAAAGAGAAAUACUUGUGGAAAAAUGCACUUUUUUAUCAUAAGCUAUCAUUGAUUUCACUGAUAAAGGUUUAUUGUACAGUUCUGUCAAGAAAAAGACAAGAAGGCAGUGUCAGACAUGCGAAAGGUGCAGCAGGCAAAUAUACAAUCCAUAACAAUACCAGUUUCAUUGUCAGUAAAAUACAGCAUUCAUUUGUUUGCGAUAUUAAUUAAUAGUAAUAUAAAAACGAGGGAAGACACAGAAGCGACAAUGUAAAAUCUGUCAUUCAGUAUUUUCAGUAGUCUUUACAGACAUGAUUGAAGUGUUUCAGUAGCACUUGUAAAAAAUAAAUAUCGGCCUUAUAUCAAAAAUCAAACAAAUGUAAUUUAACAACUUACUUUACAGUAAAA